Molecule: ribosomal RNA, 169 nt
Filed under: uncultured bacterium
Lineage: Bacteria
Description: partial 16S ribosomal RNA
Rfam family: Bacterial small subunit ribosomal RNA
Source: RNAcentral
CCUACGGGAGGCAGCAGUGGGGAAUAUUGCACAAUGGGCGAAAGCCUGAUGCAGCAACGCCGCGUGAAUGAUGAAGGCCUUCGGGUCGUAAAGUUCUUUGAUCAGGGAUGAUAAUGACAGUACCUGAAAAACAAGCCACGGCUAACUACGUGCCAGCAGCCGCGGUAAU